UACGGAGGGGGCAAGCGUUAUUCGGAUUUACUGGGCGUAAAGGGUGUGUAGGCCGUCGCGCAAGUCUGGUGUGAAAUCUUCACCACUCAACGGGAAGAGGUCACUGGAAACUGCGUGACUUGAGUUUGGUAGAGGCGAGCGGAAUUCCUGGUGUAGCGGUGGAAUGUGUAGAUAUCAGGAAGAACACCGGUGGCGAAGGCGGCUCGCUGGGCCAAUACUGACGCUGAAACACGAAAGCGUGGGGAGCAAACGG
RNAcentral lists this ribosomal RNA (253 nucleotides) under uncultured prokaryote. RNAcentral's name for it is "partial 16S ribosomal RNA". It matches the Rfam family "Bacterial small subunit ribosomal RNA", at positions 524 to 775 of the family's 1533-position model. The record is from RNAcentral.